GGGAAAGUGGGGAUCCUGGGCCAACUUACCAUUAAGAGGGUCCAGUCCUGUGACUGCUGUGAAGUAACCAGGAUUCCACAUAGAGAUGGGACUCAAAGUCAGCCCAGGAGCAGCACUGUGGUCCCAGGCCUGCUGUGGCAUCCCAGUGACAUCCAGGAAAGGCCCCCCCUUCAUCUUGACACCAAAUGUAAGCAUCCAAGUGAAAAAAAGAACAGCAAAAAAAGUAACGUAAUCAUUAUGUGGGUGCGGUGGCUCACACCCAUAAUCCCAGCACUUUGGGAGGCCGAGGCAAGAAGAUCGCUUGAGCCCAGGAGUUCGAGACCAGCCCGGGCAACAUGGCAAAACCUGAUCUCCGCCAAAAAUACAAAGAUUAGCUGGGCAUGGUGUUGUGAGCAUGUAAUAACAGCUACUCAGGAGGCUGAGGUAGGAGGAUCACAUGAGUCUGGGAGGUUGAGGCCGCAGUGAGCUGCGAUCAGAUUUGGUGACUGAAUGAGACCCUGCCUCAAAAAAAAAAAAAAAAAAAAGGAAUGAUUAAAGUUUUUUGUUGUUGUUGUUCAUGUUACAAGUUUGUACACCAGUAACUAAAAGGGGAAAAACAAGCAAUAUUCAACACAACUAAUUAUGGGUAAAAUUUUCGUUCUUUGAUGUGGCUUUCUUGUUUUGUUUUUCAUUUUGUCCCUGAGGUGGCAACCUCAUCCUUUCAUGCUAGUGCUGGCUCUAUGAUGAACCACCAGAUUCUGGAAUUUUCC
This 749-nucleotide long non-coding RNA is filed under the name Pan troglodytes (chimpanzee). RNAcentral's name for it is "lncRNA (ENSPTRG00000053747.1)". The record is from RNAcentral. Lineage: Eukaryota; Metazoa; Chordata; Mammalia; Primates; Hominidae.